CCUACGGGUGGCAGCAGUGAGGGAUAUUGCACAAUGGGGGAAACCCUGAUGCAGCGACGCCGCGUGGGUGAAGAAGCGCCUCGGCGCGUAAAACCCUGUCCGCAGGGAAGAAAAUGACGGUCCCUGAAGAAGCAGCCCCGGCUAACUACGUGACAGCAGCCGCGGUACUACGUAGGGGGCAAGCGUUAUCCGGAUUUACUGGGUGUAAAGGGGGCGCAGACGGCGAUGCAAGCCAGGAGUGAAAGCCCGGAGCCCAACCCCGGGACUGCGCUUGGAACUGCGUGGCUAGAGUGCAGGAGGGGUAGGCGGAAUUCCUGGUGUAGCGGUGAAAUGCGUAGAUAUCAGGAGGAACACCGGUGGCGAAGGCGGCCUGCUGGACUGCAACUGACGUUGAGGCCCGAAAGCGUGGGGAGCAAACAGGAUUAGAUACCCUGGUAGUC
RNAcentral lists this ribosomal RNA (440 nucleotides) under uncultured bacterium. Its description in RNAcentral is "partial 16S ribosomal RNA". It matches the Rfam family "Bacterial small subunit ribosomal RNA", at positions 338 to 795 of the family's 1533-position model. The record is from RNAcentral.